UGAGGAAUAUUGGGCAAUGCCCGCAAGGGUGACCCAGCAACGCCGCGUGGAGGAUGAAUGUCGUAAGAUUGUAAACUCCUGUUAGAGGGGAAGAAUAGUACCGGUUGGACCGGUAUAUGACUGUACCCUCAGAGAAAGCCCCGGCUAACUACGUGCCAGCAGCCGCGGUAAUACGUAGGGGGCAAGCGUUGUCCGGAUUUACUGGGUGUAAAGGGCGCGCAGGCGGGAUAAAAAGUCAGUGGUGAAAUCCUACAGCUUAACUGUAGAACUGCCUUUGAUACUUUUAUUCUUGAGUUCGGGAGAGAGAGACGGAAUUCCAGGUUUAGUGGUGAAAUACGUAGAUAUCUGGAAGAACACCAGUUGCGAAGGCGGUCUCUUGGUCCGACACUGACGCUGAGGCGCGAAAGCGUGGGGAGCAAAC
Molecule: ribosomal RNA, 421 nt
Filed under: uncultured bacterium
Lineage: Bacteria
Description: bacterial SSU rRNA
Rfam family: Bacterial small subunit ribosomal RNA
Source: RNAcentral